Long non-coding RNA from Terrapene triunguis (Three-toed box turtle), 535 nucleotides. RefSeq lists it as uncharacterized. NCBI's taxonomy places the organism in Eukaryota, Metazoa, Chordata, Testudines, Emydidae. The transcript is spliced from 3 exons. The record is from RefSeq and is a predicted model, not a curated record.
GAGAACUAUGAGACGGUGACCUCGCUGGGAUUUCCCAUUCCCAAACCUGAGCUGAUCGCCCGGCUGGAAGGAGGGGAAGAGCCUUGGGUUCCCGAUCUCCAGGCCUGCAAGGAAAGAAGGCUUCCGAGAUGCACCCGUACAGCAGGUGCUGAGCGAGGGAGUGAGAAUGAGGAGGGGAAUCAUCAUGAGGAAGUUCCCGGGGAAGUGGAACCUCAGGGGCCCUUUGUAGGAAGAGCUGAAGGGAAUUUUUCCCAGUGCUUGGAGCAGGCAGAAGCCUGGGGAAGUUGGCACAGGUCAGAGAGGCUUCUGGGAAACCACCCAGGGAAGAAAGUGGAUGAAUCUAUUAACGGUGGGGGAAGAGAGGAGGAUCCCAGAGCGCAGCAGACAAAUCCCAAGGAAGAGACACCCUGGCACUACCUUCAGUGUGGGAAAGGAUUCAUUGUGAGAUCACACCUUGUUCAACAUCAGGCAAUCCACACAGGAGUGAGACCCUACAAGUGCUUGGACUGUGGGAAAAGUUUCACAGAGAGGUCAA